This 497-nucleotide ribosomal RNA is filed under the name uncultured bacterium. Its description in RNAcentral is "partial 16S ribosomal RNA". It matches the Rfam family "Bacterial small subunit ribosomal RNA", at positions 28 to 507 of the family's 1533-position model. The record is from RNAcentral.
GAUGAACGCUGGCGGCGUGCCUAAUACAUGCAAGUCGAGCGAACGGACGAGAAGCUUGCUUCUCUGAUGUUAGCGGCGGACGGGUGAGUAACACGUGGAUAACCUACCUAUCAGACUGGGAUAACUUCGGGAAACCGGAGCUAAUACCGGAUAAUAUUUUGAACCGCAUGGUUCAAAAGUGAAAGACGGUCUUGCUGUCACUUAUAGAUGGAUCCGCGCUGCAUUAGCUAGUUGGUAAGGUAACGGCUUACCAAGGCAACGAUGCAUAGCCGACCUGAGAGGGUGAUCGGCCACACUGGAACGGAGACACGGACAAGACGCCUAAGGGAGGCAGCAGUAGGGAAUCUGCCGCAAUGGGCGAAAGCCUGACGGAGCAACGCCGAGUGAGUGAUGAAGGUCUUCGGAGCGUAAAACUCUGUUAUUAGGGAAGAACAUAUGUGUAAGUAACUGUGCACAUCUUGACGGUACCUAAUCAGAAAGCCACGGCUAACUACGUG